RNAcentral lists this transfer RNA (72 nucleotides) under Mucilaginibacter pedocola. It matches the Rfam family "tRNA". From Rfam's summary of the family: Transfer RNA (tRNA) molecules are approximately 80 nucleotides in length. Their secondary structure includes four short double-helical elements and three loops (D, anti-codon, and T loops). Lineage: Bacteria; Pseudomonadati; Bacteroidota; Sphingobacteriia; Sphingobacteriales; Sphingobacteriaceae. The record is from Rfam by way of RNAcentral.
UUUCCUGUAGUGCAAUGGUUAGCACACCCGUUUUUGAUGCGGGUAGUUGUGGUUCAAAUCCAUACGGGAAAA